Molecule: ribosomal RNA, 468 nt
Filed under: uncultured bacterium
Lineage: Bacteria
Description: partial 16S ribosomal RNA
Rfam family: Bacterial small subunit ribosomal RNA
Source: RNAcentral
GACGAACGCUGGCGGCGUGCUUAACACAUGCAAGUCGAACGGAAAGGCCCUGCUUUUGUGGGGUGCUCGAGUGGCGAACGGGUGAGUAACACGUGAGUAACCUGCCCUUGACUUUGGGAUAACUUCAGGAAACUGGGGCUAAUACCGUAUAGGAGCUCCUGCUGCAUGGUGGGGGUUGGAAAGUUUCGGCGGUUGGGGAUGGACUCGCGGCUUAUCAGCUUGUUUGUGGGGUAGUGGCUUACCAAGGCUUUGACGGGUAGCCGGCCUGAGAGGGUGACCGGCCACAUUGGGACUGAGAUACGGCCCAGACUCCAACGGGAGGCAGCAAUGGGGAAUAUUGCACAAUGGGCGGAAGCCUGAUGCAGCAACGCCGCGUGCGGGAUGACGGCCUUCGGGUUGUAAACCGCUUUCGCAUGUGACGAAGCGUGAGUGACGGUAAUGGGUAAAGAAGCACCGGCUAACUACGUG